Long non-coding RNA from Tachysurus vachellii, 291 nucleotides. RefSeq lists it as uncharacterized. Lineage: Eukaryota; Metazoa; Chordata; Actinopteri; Siluriformes; Bagridae. The record is from RefSeq and is a predicted model, not a curated record. The transcript is spliced from 2 exons.
CUCAAAAGAGCUUUACUUCCUGGUCAAUGUUACCUUUGCUUCUUAGUUUUUUCAUGACAGACGUCCUGAGGAUUAAUCCUUCAUUCAACUACAGUACAAUGAAUCCUUCGCCUCAGGGUCAGCCAAUUCAUCCUGGUCACACCAUCUGGUCCUUGCCUCACCAUCCUCGUCCUUCCCCUACCCAAGGCCAGUGCCUGUUGACGUCUACCUGGAUCUCCAGAUUACACUCCUACUUCGCCCAUUUACUAAGUUUAUUUAUAAUAAACAUAUAAACAUUUCCUCUUUUAUCCA